AUACGGAGGGUGCAAGCGUUAAUCGGAAUCACUGGGCGUAAAGCGCACGUAGGCGGCCCGUUAAGUCAGAUGUGAAACCCCUGGGCUCAACCUGGGAAUGGCAUUUGAUACUAGCGCGCUCGAGUCUGAUAGAGGGGGGUGGAAUUCCAGGUGUAGCGGUGAAAUGCGUAGAUAUCUGGAGGAACACCGGUGGCGAAGGCGGCCCCCUGGAUCAUGACUGACGCUGAGGUGCGAAAGCGUGGGUAGCAAACAGGAUUAGAUACCCUGGUAGUCCACGCCGUAAACGAUGUCGACUAGCCGUUCGGUCCAUUUAAGGAUUGAGUGGCGCAGCCAACGCGAUAAGUCGACCGCCUGGGGAGUACGGCCGCAAGGUUAAA
This 377-nucleotide ribosomal RNA is filed under the name uncultured bacterium. RNAcentral's name for it is "bacterial SSU rRNA". It matches the Rfam family "Bacterial small subunit ribosomal RNA", at positions 523 to 898 of the family's 1533-position model. The record is from RNAcentral.